GAUCCUGGCUCAGGACGAACGCUGGCGGCGCGCCUAACACAUGCAAGUCGAACGAGAGAUGAAGAGCUUGCUCUUCAAAUCGAGUGGCGAACGGGUGAGUAACGCGUGAGGAACCUGCCUCAAAGAGGGGGACAACAGUUGGAAACGACUGCUAAUACCGCAUAAGCCCACAGCUCGGCAUCGAGCAGAGGGAAAAGGAGUGAUCCGCUUUGAGAUGGCCCUCGCGUCGUA
RNAcentral lists this ribosomal RNA (231 nucleotides) under uncultured bacterium. RNAcentral describes it as "partial 16S ribosomal RNA". It matches the Rfam family "Bacterial small subunit ribosomal RNA", at positions 15 to 240 of the family's 1533-position model. The record is from RNAcentral.